CCCCCUAGUCCGGCCCGAGUGGGGCCAUGGCGGCCAGCCUGUGGAUGGGCGACCUGGAGCCCUACAUGGAUGAGAACUUCAUCUCCAGAGCCUUUGCCACCAUGGGGGAGACCGUGAUGAGCGU
Myotis davidii is the source of this 124-nucleotide long non-coding RNA. RefSeq lists it as uncharacterized. The record is from RefSeq and is a predicted model, not a curated record. The transcript is spliced from 2 exons. NCBI's taxonomy places the organism in Eukaryota, Metazoa, Chordata, Mammalia, Chiroptera, Vespertilionidae.